GGCGGACGGGUGAGUAAUGUCUGGGAAACUGCCUGAUGGAGGGGGAUAACUACUGGAAACGGUAGCUAAUACCGCAUAACGUCGCAAGACCAAAGAGGGGGACCUUAGGGCCUCUUGCCAUCGGAUGUGCCCAGAUGGGAUUAGCUAGUAGGUGGGGUAACGGCUCACCUAGGCGACGAUCCCUAGCUGGUCUGAGAGGAUGACCAGCCACACUGGAACUGAGACACGGUCCAG
RNAcentral lists this ribosomal RNA (234 nucleotides) under uncultured Pseudomonadota bacterium. RNAcentral describes it as "uncultured proteobacterium partial 16S ribosomal RNA". It matches the Rfam family "Bacterial small subunit ribosomal RNA", at positions 97 to 334 of the family's 1533-position model. Lineage: Bacteria; Pseudomonadati; Pseudomonadota. The record is from RNAcentral.